Molecule: long non-coding RNA, 7674 nt
Organism: Cebus imitator (Panamanian white-faced capuchin)
Lineage: Eukaryota; Metazoa; Chordata; Mammalia; Primates; Cebidae
Exons: 3
Source: RefSeq, a predicted model, not a curated record
CCAGGAAGUGGAGGUUUCACUGAUCAUGCCACUGCGCUCCAGUCUGGGUAACAGAGCAAAACUCUUGUCUCUUAAAAAAAAAUUAAUAUAUCUAUCCUUUUGAAUUGUAAUAUUUUGUAAUGCUUCCUUUUAACAUUUACAAACAGACGAUACUACUAUUGAAAUUUUGUGAAGUAAUAAAAUUGUAAUUUGAGCUGUGCCCCUGAGACUGCAAUACUCAGUGCCUUUAGGACUCAUGUCACAUAGAUUAAACUUAGAAGGAAACACAAAUCCAAAAUUAUGGCCAGGGUGUUGUUGACUCACAUGACCUCUUCAGAAGGCAGUUUCAUUCUGCCAGGGUUAAAGAUAAUGUAACUUUCUAGCCAUCCCACUUCCAGGAAUGCUUCACCAGAUACAUGCAUGCAUGGGUGCCAGGAGCGACACAGAAAAGGCUGUUCACUGUAGCAUGGUUUAAAUAGCAAGAUUACUUUAUAGGUCUUAUAUAAUGAGAUGGAUUUACAAUUGAAAUGCAGAAUGGUAGCUGAGAUGCAUUGACCAGUGAUAUAUGCAGAGCUACAGAAGACUCUGUAUAAAUAUAACCAUGAAAAAGCAUGUGCUUCUGGUGCAUGUUUGUAUUUGCACAUACAAUGCAGGGAUGAUAUGCAAACAAAAAUGCUGACUUGGUGUUUGGGAGUUGGGAGUGGAAGGAAAACUUCCUUUCAAACUCUUUCAAAUAUUUAGAGUAAUUUCUAACCAUAAAUAUGUAAUACAUUUAGAAAUCUAAGUUAAUAAGAAAAGCUUGCAGUUCCUGGCCUUCUGCUGGGCACAUGUCUGGUGGACAUGGGACUGUCAUAAUAAGUAAUGUGUGCAAACUGAGAAAAAUCCAAGAAUGAGAAUCUGCUUUUUUCAUCAAAUAAUUCUUAAGAGAAGUAAUGUGGCGGUUAUUGCUUAUUGAUAUAUUAUGAAUAUCAUACUAGAUAAUAAUUUCUAACAUUUGAACUGUAUUUACACAUAUUUAAUUGAAAUACCUAGAUAAAAAAUUGAAAAACAUAGAUAAAAUAUUGUGACUAAUAUAGACAAACAGUUGCUUUCUUGACGUUUUACAAACUGAUCACCGUUCCUCGUGGCACAGGUUCAUGUGAAAUGAAGUAGCUUGCUUUGUUUGGGAAAGGCAAUGAUGACUGCAAGAAUCACUUCAAAAACUCAAGUGCAAUGGAGAUUUCAAUUGUGUUCUGUUUAAUACUUGAAUAUUUAAUUGCAUUCCCUGGUUAUUUCUCAUCCUAAUAGCUCUCACCCACAUCAUGUGGGUUCCAUUAGUACAGAUAUCUCUGAAUGCUGCACUCUUCCAUUACAUUGAGUCAAUUGCUUAUUACCUUGGGCCUCCAUUUGGGGCUAUUCUCCUGCCUAUCAUCUCCCUGUCUAUAGUAAAAGAGUCAAUGAGCAGAUAAGUGAAUGCUGAAAAACACUUUUCCUGCUGGAGUGAGAAAUAAGUGGUUUCUUUCAAUAUGGUAGUAAAAUGCAACUUUCCUAGCCUAUUUAUAUGACUCAAAGCCCAGAUGUCGUUAGCCUCAAUUCCUGAUUGUCAUUAGUGUGUGUAAAUACAUAGCACAUACAUAUUCUAGUCUGUAUUUCUUUUUUUUUUUUUUUUUUUUUUUUUGAGACGGGUGUGGUGGCUCACACCUAUAAUCCCAGCACUUUGGGAGGCCAAGGCGGGUGGAUCACGAGGUCAAGAGAUCGAGACCAUUCUGGUCUGUAUUUCUUUUGAAAUGUUUUUGUCUCCCAUGGCACAGUGCAGAAGAACACAGGUGUUGGUGUCAGACUGCCAGGGUCCAAUCCUGCCUCUGCUGUAGUGCAAUGUAGGUAAUAUCUGGCCUGCAUUUGGUUACAUGUAGGAACUCUGUAUGUUUGUCUUGGUUUAAUGAUUUUUAAAUGCUACUAAAUUCAACUUCUGAGGAAGCUGUUUAGAUUGUAGAAAAUGGAAACUUUAAAAAUUUUUCUUCCCAGAAGCCAAGAACAUUAACUCAUGUCAAGUCUACCCACUUAUCCACCUGUCCAUCUGUCUGUCCAUCCACUCAUCAUCCAACCAUGGAACUCAGUGCCAACUCCUGAGGUGAUAAUGGAUUCCAGACACCCUUGUUCUUCCUAGUCACAUAUUAAAGUGUUCAUAAGUUGACCUUGAUUGACUGUGAUAAGCAUCAAGCCCACUUGCUCCAACACUGUGGACUGCUAUCCCCCAACGCCCCCUCCAGCUCAGUCAGGCAGGCAGGAUUCUGUGCUUCAUAACAAGCUUACUAGAAUAUUUCCACCACUUAACACAAGAGGUAAAAAAAAAAGUUGUCUACCCUUUAAUAUUUGGUUUUAGUAUGACAUCUCUCAUAAAUAUUUCUCUAGCAGCCAUUCCCAGAGCUUGUUUUUCCUCUAAUAUUUUAAAAACACUGAAAAGCUUUAGCAAUAUGCCAUGUCAUCUUGCACAAUACACUGAUUGCCUGGUUUUCUUUGGUUUGGUUUUGGUUCUUGAAAUUGACUUAAAGAUCAGUGCUUUCUACUUCUACUCUGUUUAUUGCAUCUGUGCUCCUGAGGAAGAUUAGCCUGUGGUUUUCUUCUAGGACUUGCAAGAGGCAACCUUGCUUUGGAGAUGAGAAAUCUGACAUUCUAGAGGUGAAACACUCACCUAAGAGGACCAGGGAGUCAAGUCCAUGUUUAAUGUCAAAGCCCAUUGUUUUCCAGCAGCCAUGACACCAUUUCUUACUGUAUUAGUAAACACUUGGUAGGGACACUCACCUUUAAAAUCCCCUAUGGUUGGUCAUUUCAUGACUGUGUUGUGUGUUCCUGGCAGUGUAUUGUACAGCACUGCCUAUGAGGCAUGGAGGAGUCUCACAUGAAGGUUGCCUGCAUUAGGGGGGAGUUCCUGAAGCUGCUGCUCAUGUUCCUCACAGGGAAGCCAGGGAUGAGCAACCCCAUUCUGUACAUAGGCAAGCCAUGAACCAAGGGCCUCUCUUUCAAGGUAUGAAUUCUGAGGAAUGUUUCUAAGGUGUGAGGAAACAUGAAAAACUAGAAAAGACCAGAGGGACAGAAGAGUUUGUGCAGCAGUCAAAGGAAGGGAUAUUUGGUGUGUUUGCUGCUCUGCUCACCUCACUCUUCAACCUCCCUGCUGGAUUUUUAGAGUCAUUUGGGUAUGGGUGUCCCGUUUUGGUGAGUGGCUUGGACUGGAGGAAGUCCAUAGAGUAUGGCAGAGGGUACUGGAGGUUGAGGUAUAAUGAGGUAAAUGUGAAUUGGAUAAGAUGGACUAGCUGCAUCUGGUGACAUUUCUGUCUGUGUAGGUAUUUGAAUAUGCACUGCCACUUCUUGGUCCCCAUGAGACAGCUAGAGAACUGAAUUGACUUUCACUGCUCUGGAAUCAGUUUGUUUGUAAUAGUUUAAUUUACUCAUCAGGUAACAUCAAUUAUUGAAAAUAUUCCUGGAAAUGAACUUUCUGCCAUCAUUAUGAUUAGUGAAGAAAAUAGAAGCUUUCUUGGGAAAUCAACAAAAUACUUGCUUGGUUUGUAUUUAUGCCUCAUAAGUCAUAGCAUACAGCCAUUUGCCAGUGCUUGCACCCUCUGCUGGCCUCAGGACUAGGAGGUCAGGGUGGCCUCUCUCAUGAGCCUCUGACCUAUAACCUCAGUAGCAGCAGCACCCCUUCUCCAUGGACUUCCACACCAAGGUCCAGAAACAGGUGUCAGAGAGAGCUCCUUCUCACAGGGGGUUGCCGAGGGGCCCCUGGGCUGUGCCUAGAAUUCUCCUGGGGAAGUGCCGAUGGAGAAGUGGAUUAGAGGCUUCAGUGGUUGGUUCCAGUGAAACUAACUACAGAGUGCUAGAGUAGGGUAAGAGAAAGGAGAAGAUAUUUAGGUUCUGUUUCCACAUACAAAAACUAGGGCCCUAUUUUUAAAUGAAAUAGUUUUCUUCCUUUGAAGUGUCUCUGAUUGUACCUGACUUCUGCUCACACUCCUGAUGUUCAACCACAUAUUCAAAAAACUCCAUUUGUGUUUUUCAUGAGGGAUGAAAUUAUUACCUGUUCUGACAGGCAAAUGCACUGUCCAGAUGUCCCUAUAUACAUCACAUAAAGGAGGAAACAGAUGAAUCAUCCACACGCUAACACAGAUGAGUUUAUCAAUUGCAGCUGUUAAGGAUGGGCCGAUGUUACCAAGGGACAGAGUCCGGGAAGGUACUCAUUCCAAGAGCCUGCUGCAAGAGUUCAGUCAACCCAGGACAGCUAGAGCAACCUGGGCCUAAAGCCAGGGGCUGGCAGGUGACAGAUAGAAAGAAUGGACCACAGAGUCUCCUUUUUCUCCUGCAUUUUCAAUAGACCAUAUAUUGUCAUAGUAUUUUGUGAAACAUUUAAAAAUCUGAAGUAUGACAUACAUACAGAAAACACAUGAAACCUAAAUAAUACAGCUCUGUCAUUUAUCACAAAAUGAGCACCCAUGUAACUACAAGUCAGGUCAAAAAAUAGAAGUUACCUGUACUCGAAAACUGUCCUUGGAUCUCCUCCUUUCCAAAGAUAACCAUUACAACUUCGUGUGCUAAAGUUUGCUCCUUUUUAGUUUGCACUUAUUUUAAAUAGAAUAACUCAGGAUGUAUUCCUUGAUUUCCGGAGGCUUUUGCUCAUAAUAAGUUUGGAACAGUCAGCCAUGUGGCUGCGCAUAGCUGCAGUUCAUUCAUUGUCUUGCUACACUUGCUAUUCAAUUUUGAGUUCUUUAAAAAUUGAAUGAAUCAGGUGAAAAGGAAUGUUGGUGAAUAUUCUAACAGAAAAACAAUUGGAUCUUGACUCUUUUAAAAAAUGGUCCUAUUGAUAAAGUGAUAUUUUAGCUAAGUGUGAUAAAAAUAAUAUGGCUUGGAUGUACCAUUUUUCUUUUUGUUGUUCCAAACUGUGGAGUUUAUUGGUUUAAAUAAUGAAAACACGUUCUAUCAUCCCAGCUUUACACUUGCUGUUUCUUUAACAGCCUUCCCAUUGGGGCAGGAUGGAAGUAGGAACCCCAGUAAUCUCCCCUUAAACUGGAGUCUUUCCUUCUCCACAGCUCUCUUAUUGGAUGGGAUAGACUGGGCACCCAGGCCUGAGGUAAGGACAUGCCCUAUCACCUAGAGGUGCAAUGCCUGGGAAGACCAAUCUUGAAGGGGUUCUGCCACCUUUGCAGGGACAUAGGUGUUGGGAGGAACUGACUACCAAUUGGUAAGGCUGUGCUUUGUUGGUGACAUGAUUGUUUCACAGGUAACUGGGGAGGGACAGUCCCAAGGCCUUACCUGGCCGUGGUCCUGGCUCUGCACCAAGGCAAUAAGAGAGGAAUGGUGCUAAGGGAUGACAUGUUGCUGUGGAAGGUGCCGGACUGAAAUUCAGGAGGCAGAAGAUACAGUGGUCUCAUAGGAGAUGGAGGAUUCAUCAGCGUGCGCUGCACUGAGCAGAAGGAAGGAAAGCUGCUACAAAAAUUAGAAGAGAGUGAGCGAAGGGAGGGUCCUUCCUCCAGCCACCACCUAUUUCAGGAGAACACACAGAAGUGAUGAUCUUUUAUGAACAGGUAAGUAAAUUCUGCUGUUUUGGUUACUCAUGGAAAAAACAUUGGCUAGUGUGAGGUGGGAAGGUGGUGAACUCAUUCUCCCUGGACCUCAGGAACCACAGAUAGGACUAUACUGCCUACCAGUAUUUUAUUCCGUUAUUUCUACCUGUAUGAAUCCUGUAAUAUUGAAAUGGGUAGGUUAGCAUUUUUGGCCAAUUUACUCAGCAUUCUGAAUUAGAAGUUUUUAGAAUUCACCUAUGUAAGCUUAGUUUUCUGUUAGUGAAAAAGUACAAAAAUGGUAAUCUCUUUUAUCAUAAAAAUAAUGUCUUUUUAAUAGAGUGUUUUUUCUAAUCAAUGUAUUAUGUACUUUUCAAUACAUUCAUUGCUUACAUUUGAACUAUUUUAUGAAUGAAUAAUUGUAUAGGUGAAGAUUACUAGUCAUGGGCAUUUUACUAACUGAUGCUCAUUAGGCAUAGCAUGGGUUCAUGGGAUGUCAAGGAGCUAUGUUUUGUUUGGUAAAAGUAAGAAAAUAGCACAAGAGUGAAUGCAAGCACUGAAGCACAAUGGAGGCGCCUAUGAUGACUUGUCUAAGAUUUACAUCACUUUGUUGUCUUCCCAGAUUACUUAUCAUCCUGAUAAUUAUCAUCAGCAUUGUUUGGGUCCUUCUAGCACAGUUUCCCAAAAUGGGCAACUCUUCCAUUAGGUAAAAAUACUUCCAUUUGAGCCUUUAAUUGCAGCUGUCUUCCUGCUUCUUCUUUUGGAAGAGUUAAUUAAAGGAUAAAUACAUUAGAAUUUUUUUUCCAUGUUAGAAUGAGCAAACCGCAAUGUUUAUUUCACUGGGGUAACAGAAUGCUUCCUUUUGACCUUCCAAGCUCAUCUCAAUUUCAGCAGCCCCAUUUCCUAAUGCUCACCAAAGUGUGUAAAUACAGAGGACAUUUCUGCACUCAGGUAUUUCUAUUUCUUAUGAUCUAUGACAUUUAUACAUAGCACAGUGCUCAGCAGCACAGAUUUGAGAGUCAGAAUGCUUGGAUACUGAAUUGAAUUGUGAUCUUAGACAAAUCCCUUGAAUCAAUAUAAAAAUAUUAUGAUUGUACCUUAUUUUUGAGGUUCCUGGGAGGAUUAAGGUUUUCUUGAUGGUAUCAUUCAGUCAUCGAACCAAAUAAUAUUUGCACCUAAUCUGUACAGUGAAAUAAGGAAUAAAGGAUUAGAGAAUGAGCUCCACAUAAAAACAUUUUUUAAAAAGUCACAAUGCAAGUGAGAGGAAUAUUUGCACUGUUCUUUUUGGGUAUCAGGAAGUAAAUAAAUAGUGUUCCCCAUGAGAAUGGGAAAGACUUCACAGCAGAGUUAUCACCUGGGCUGGACCUGUUUGGGGGUGAGCAGGAUUUCACACACAGCAUGAACUUUGGCACAGAAAUUUUUAAAGCCCAGAAUGAAGCAAAAUAAAAAACUGAGGUGUGUUUUGUGUCUUUCAGGUUGUCAGAUGUUUAAUACAGGUUAGCAUUCCAAAUCCAAAAAUCUGAAAUCCAAAAAUCUGAAAUCCAAAAUGCUCUAAAACCCGAAACAUUUUCAGCUUCUAAAUGGAAAUGCUCACUGGAGGAUUUCAGAUUUCAAAUUUUUGGAUUUGGAAUUCUCAAUCACUAAGUAUAUAUAAUGCAAAUAUUCUGAAAUCUGCAAAAACCCAAAUCUGAAUCACUUCUGGUACCAAUCAUUUCAGUUAAGGGACACACAGUUAAGGGACAUUUCAGUUAAGGACACACAUUUUCGUGCUUAACAUUCAGUGCUGAUGAGGAUGGGGGUGGUAACACCCAUUGCUGUAACUGCUGGAAGCAUGUGAAUUUCUAUGAUUUGUAAGAGGGCAAUUUGGAGGACCUAUCUUUUUUUUUGUUUGUUUGUUUUUGUUUUAAAAGUUGUUUUUAUUAAACACACCAUAUAGAUGGGUUAAUGAUCUAUUUCUCAGUUUUUACCAAAACCAUGUGUGUCUCACUUUCUGUCUGCUUUUUUUUUAAUUGUACUUUAAGUUCUGGGGUACAUGUACAGAUCUUACAGGAUUGUUGCUUAGGUUACCACAUGCCAUGGUGGUUUGCUGUCUCCAUCCCACCAUCACCUACAUCAGGCAUUUCUCCCAGUGUUAUCCCACCCCAUCCUCCCAACAUCCACUGUCCGUCCC